AGUGCGCGCCUUUAUACGGUGAAACCGCGAAUGGCUCAUUAAAUCAGCUAUGGUUUAUUGGAUCGUACCCGUUAAAUGGAUAACUGUAAUAACUCUAGAGCUAAUACAUGCCACGAUGCCCUGACCCGCAAGGGAAUGGGUGCACUUAUUAGAUCAGAAGCCAACCGAGUGUCAGUGCCUCAGUGCACUGGUGCUUGUUGUCGUUCUGGUGACUCUGGAUAAUUGUUACAGAUCGCAGUCGGCCUUGAGUCGGCGACGGGUCCUUCAAAUGUCUGCCCUAUCAACUUUCGAUGGUAGGUGACCUGCCUACCAUGGUUAUAACGGGUAACGGGGAAUCAGGGUUCGAUUCCGGAGAGGGAGCCUGAGAAACGGCUACCACUUCUAAGGGAGGCAGCAGGCGCGCAAAUUACCCACUCCCGGUACGGAGGUGGU
This 432-nucleotide ribosomal RNA is filed under the name Cyathocephalus truncatus. RNAcentral's name for it is "SSU rRNA". It matches the Rfam family "Eukaryotic small subunit ribosomal RNA", at positions 62 to 468 of the family's 1831-position model. The record is from RNAcentral. Lineage: Eukaryota; Metazoa; Platyhelminthes; Cestoda; Spathebothriidea; Acrobothriidae.